UUACAUUCUCAGUUAGCUUCAGGCCUCACUGAGGCGAAGUAUUGAGGUAGAAAGCUGGUGAAGCCAUUUCCUGCUGUCAUUAUAUUCUGUUUGCACAGAUAAUAAACCUGGUUGACAAGAAGGACGUCGUUUUCAUUCGACACAACGCAGAGAUACAUGUGGCGUCAAUCCAGACCGGUUACACAAAGAAUGAUAAAUAGAGAAAACAGAUAUAAUUUGCUUAUUAUCUGAUUACCAGCUCUGCACAGCGGACUUGUAACACUAGCAGCAGUGGAGAUGGAGCAUCAGAACCUGGAGGCUUCUACUCUCCUGAAGAAGAAGAAUACAGCAACAAGGAUCCAUUUGAAGAUAGGUAAAUAUUUCACAGCUGCCUGGGCCUAGCAGCAAGAACCUCCAUCUGUCCCUGCCCCCACGUCAAGAUCUACCGUGGCUCAAGGGCCUUCACCGCAAAGGACCAGAGGACCAUCAUCACUACAGUGGCCUCCAUCUCCAUCUGCCACAAGAUUAAGAUACACCUCGGGACAAAGGCCUCCACCACAGCCAUCACGAUCAACCCAGCCAGCAAAGAAGUCUCGCCUAGCACUGCCUCGGUGAGACUCCAGAAAGCAUGGAGCAAGAGACAAUUUCCCUUUUGGCUGAACAACAGAAAAGAAACAACCGGCAAUCAAUAAAAAAAAAGAUGGCGAAGGCGUUUGGAUACCGAAGACAAGAAAUAGUGCAUCGGAGGCCAAGCAUUGAAGGCCUCUUGGAGCGGUGGCCUGCACUUUUUCACAUGGAAGAGGUAAAUGCUGAGUUAAUGCGCAUAACAACAAUUCCAUUGGAGACAAAGUUCUUGGCGCAGUUGGACAAACACUCAGGUCAUCAGGAGCAGGGGAGGAGUUGUGAAACAGAAGACCACCGGGAUCUUGCAGGUUUUGGAUGAGACUGUGGACAUCGCCAUCAGAAGAGAAUGCAUCCUCAAAUCUCUAAUGAUCUACCUGGGUGAACCUGUUGACCAUCUCAUCAAAGAAUUCCAGGACGCUGAGGCUGGAGAACUGGAGCAGGCAACAAUGGAAGCCUUUGACACUGGGAAAGAGGAUCAGCUUCAUCGACCCAAAGACGUCAAGGUUCUCAUCGAAGGAACAGAGGUCCUCAGCGGCUUGCCCUCGGUUGCGACAGCUUUUGCCAUGCUCUUCGGGCUCAUAUACGCACUGAAAUGGGGCGACGCCUGCGAGCUAGUUCAGGCAGUCAACUCGAGCACUUAUGCUGCAUUCAUACAUAACGCCCCCUUGCCACUCUACAACCAACCAAACAGAGUCUCCUUAAUGUGCCGCUCUAUUGAACCUGCCAGAUCUCUCUCCAUGCAUUGCUUGCUGCUGCUAUUGCUGCAGCUACCUCUACGUCGCUGCUGCUCGCUGCCCCACCACCACCCCAGCUUCCACCUGUAGGCUCGGGGGUUAGUUAUUUGAUCAUCACUCAUCGUGCUAUGUAUAUCUAUGGAGUGAUGAUGCCCGAGCCUAGUCGCCAAACUCAACUAUAUGCUGCUUCUAAUAAACAUGUUAAAGGAACACGUGAGUUGUCUGACUGAACUUAAGAUAUCAGAAAUAACUGCAAUCCACUUUUGAAGUUGUGCAAAAAGUCCUGAUGGAGGGGAAAAAGAUGAGCCCAAAAGUGAAUAGACUGAGAACCCAGCUGGUAGACACUUUGUUGCACUCACUCACAGUUACCAUUGUUACAUGGUAAGGUUUCUAAAACCAAGGUUUUAUAAUAAUUAUGCAUUGUAAAACAUUUGCGAAAAAGUGUUGUGUUCAGAAGUUGCACUUACAGUAUGACCGAUUUUCACUGUAGAAGUUAUGCAUGUCUAAUCAUUUUCAGAGAUUACAUGUCUCACAGGCGCACGUUGUCAGUGUUGCUUUAAAAAAGUGUGCAGUGGAUAAUAAGGACAAGUCUUUUUUCUAAGAGUUUGAUGUUUGGAAGCGGCCCACAUAUUACUGCAUUUUAACUGUGGUACUUAUUAACAUGUCUAAGAUCAGGUAAUGGCUGCCUCAGAGGCCAAAGCUGGUUGUGUGAACAACUUGUUUUUCAUUCAAAUAAAUGUGCUCUGGUGUUAAAAUAUACAGAUUGAUCUGAAGAAAUUGAGUCAAUGUAAAAUAUUUCGUGUGAUUGAUUACUCUAAUAUUUUUUUGUUGGUACAACGUUUUACUUUUAUUAGUGUACCUUUCAGUUGCAUUGCACUCCUUAAACGUGUUUGAGACACUUUAGAUAACAAUGUGGCUGUCAUUUGAUUAACUCUGAAAAUACAGAGGUUUUUAUUGAAUAAAUCACCCAAAAAUCACAUGAAUUGA
Gymnodraco acuticeps is the source of this 2324-nucleotide long non-coding RNA. RefSeq lists it as uncharacterized. The transcript has 6 exons. The record is from RefSeq and is a predicted model, not a curated record. Lineage: Eukaryota; Metazoa; Chordata; Actinopteri; Perciformes; Bathydraconidae.